This is a ribosomal RNA of Otolemur garnettii (small-eared galago), 116 nucleotides long. NCBI's taxonomy places the organism in Eukaryota, Metazoa, Chordata, Mammalia, Primates, Galagidae. The record is from Ensembl.
AUCUACAGGCAUACCACCCUGAACACGCACAAUCUAGUCUGAUCUCGGAAGCUAAGCAGGGUUGGGCCUGGUUAGUACUUGGAUGGGAGGUGCUGUGAAAUAGGAUGCCAUGGCAC